This 483-nucleotide ribosomal RNA is filed under the name uncultured bacterium. RNAcentral's name for it is "partial 16S ribosomal RNA". It matches the Rfam family "Bacterial small subunit ribosomal RNA", at positions 28 to 507 of the family's 1533-position model. The record is from RNAcentral.
AUUGAACGCUGGCGGCAUGCUUUACACAUGCAAGUCGAACGGCAGCGCGGGCUUCGGCCUGGCGGCGAGUGGCGAACGGGUGAGUAAUGCAUCGGAACGUGCCCAGUAGUGGGGGAUAGCCCGGCGAAAGCCGGAUUAAUACCGCAUACGACCUGAGGGUGAAAGCGGGGGACCGAAAGGCCUCGCGCUAUUGGAGCGGCCGAUGUCGGAUUGGCUAGUUGGUGGGGUAAAGGCUUCCAAGGCGACGAUCCGUAGCUGGUCUGAGAGGACGACCAGCCACACUGGGACUGAGACACGGCCCAGACUCCUACGGGAGGCAGCAGUGGGGAAUUUUGGACAAUGGGGGCAACCCUGAUCCAGCCAUGCCGCGUGCGGGAAGAAGGCCUUCGGGUUGUAAACCGCUUUUGUUCGGGAAGAAAUCCUGUGGGCUAAUACCCCGGGGGGAUGACGGUACCGGAAGAAUAAGCACCGGCUAACUACGUG